GUGUCAGCAGCCGCGGUAAUACGGAGGGUGCAAGCGUUAUCCGGAAUCACUGGGUUUAAAGGGUGCGUAGGCGGCCUGGUAAGUCAGGGGUGAAAGGUCACGGCUCAACCGUGGAAUUGCCUUUGAUACUGCGGGGCUUGAAUCGGGCUGAGGUCGGCGGAAUGUGGCAUGUAGCGGUGAAAUGCAUAGAUAUGCCAUAGAACACCAAUUGCGAAGGCAGCUGGCUAGACCUUGAUUGACGCUGAGGCACGAAAGCGUGGGGAGCGAACAGGAUUAGAAACCCGGGUAGUCC
Molecule: ribosomal RNA, 292 nt
Filed under: uncultured bacterium
Lineage: Bacteria
Description: partial 16S ribosomal RNA
Rfam family: Bacterial small subunit ribosomal RNA
Source: RNAcentral